UCAAAGUUUUCCAUUGCAUUUUACAGAACCUGUGUAACAAAAACCCCAAACCAAUAGCUUACAUCCCUCGAGCAGUCUUUCUGCCGACCAGUUUCCCAUGCAUGUUAUCAGGAGAUCAGAUGGUGAGAAAUAAUAAUAUCUAGGUGUAACAAUGCAAGUAGAUGUUUUCCCAAGCCAUCCUGUUUUUAAAGCUGAGGAAUACUAAACCUACGCAAGAACCCACGAUAACUGGUCACUUCUUACAGAAUGUUCUAGUAUAGCCAGGGGGAAGAGAUCAAGGGUAAAACUUCUUUAAAAGACAGAACAGUUCUGGAGCAAGUUCCAAGGAGGUCAGCCCUGGGCUGUACUUUUCACGUGAUCAUGUGAAUGGAGGCAGCUGUGUAACCAGCACUGAUGACAGCGGGAACCAAAACAUUUAUACAAAAGUAUAAAUAAUGAAAAUCUUAUCUUUUUUCUCCAAAC
Non-coding RNA from Pelobates cultripes (western spadefoot toad), 462 nucleotides. The record is from the annotation of a GenBank genome assembly. NCBI's taxonomy places the organism in Eukaryota, Metazoa, Chordata, Amphibia, Anura, Pelobatidae.